GACGAACGCUGGCGGCGUGCUUAACACAUGCAAGUCGAACGGAAAGGCCCUGCUUUUGUGGGGUGCUCGAGUGGCGAACGGGUGAGUAACACGUGAGUAACCUGCCCUUGACUUUGGGAUAACUUCAGGAAACUGGGGCUAAUACCGGAUAGGAGCUCCUGCUGCAUGGUGGGGGUUGGAAAGUUUCGGCGGUUGGGGAUGGACUCGCGGCUUAUCAGCUUGUUGGUGGGGUAGUGGCUUACCAAGGCUUUGACGGGUAGCCGGCCUGAGAGGGUGGCCGGCCACAUUGGGACUGAGAGACGGCCCAGACUCCUACGGGCGGCAGCGGUGGGGAGUAUUGCACAAGGGGCGGAAGCCUGAUGCAGCAACGCCGCGUGCGGGAUGACGGCCUUCGGGUUGUAAACCGCUUUCGCCUGUGACGAAGCGUGAGUGACGGUAAUGGGUAAAGAAGCACCGGCUAACUACGUG
RNAcentral lists this ribosomal RNA (468 nucleotides) under uncultured bacterium. Its description in RNAcentral is "partial 16S ribosomal RNA". It matches the Rfam family "Bacterial small subunit ribosomal RNA", at positions 28 to 507 of the family's 1533-position model. The record is from RNAcentral.